ACCCUCUCUUUUAGAUUAUUUAAAAAGUAAAGCCUGCCCACUGUUUAAAUAAAAGGGCCGCGGUAUUUUGACCGUGCAAAGGUAGCAUAAUCAUUAGCCUUUUAAUUGAAGGAUGGAAUGAAUGGUUUAAUGAUUUUUUUCUAUUAUUUUUAUUUAUAUAACAAUUUUGAUUUUAAGUGAAAAUACUUAAUUAAUUUAAUUAGACGAUAAGACCCUAUAGAAUUUUAUUUUUAAUAUAUUAAAUAAUAUAGAUAGAGUUUAAAUGGGGCAUUUUUUGAUUAAAUAAAAUUUCUAACUAAUUAUUUAAAAAUAUCUUUAUUUUAAUAUUUUUAAAAAAUUACCUUAGGGAUAACAGCGUAAUAAUUUUUAAGAGUUCAUAUCGACAAAAUAGUUUGCGACCUCGAUGUUGAAUUAAAAUACUUUUAUGGAGUAGCUUUUAUAAAAAGUAGUCUGUUCGACUAUUAAAAUUUUACAUGAUUUGAUU
This 484-nucleotide ribosomal RNA is filed under the name Tomocerus nigrus. RNAcentral's name for it is "partial 16S ribosomal RNA". The stretch from base 348 to 484 matches the Rfam family "Bacterial large subunit ribosomal RNA", at positions 2473 to 2610 of the family's 2925-position model. The record is from RNAcentral. Lineage: Eukaryota; Metazoa; Arthropoda; Collembola; Entomobryomorpha; Tomoceridae.